Molecule: ribosomal RNA, 968 nt
Filed under: human gut metagenome
Description: bacterial SSU rRNA
Rfam family: Bacterial small subunit ribosomal RNA
Source: RNAcentral
AGAGUUUGAUCCUGGCUCAGGACGAACGCUGGCGGCGUGCCUAAUACAUGCAAGUCGAGCGAGCGGAACUAACAGAUUUACUUCGGUAAUGACGUUAGGAAAGCGAGCGGCGGAUGGGUGAGUAACACGUGGGGAACCUGCCCCAUAGUCUGGGAUACCACUUGGAAACAGGUGCUAAUACCGGAUAAGAAAGCAGAUCGCAUGAUCAGCUUUUAAAAGGCGGCGUAAGCUGUCGCUAUGGGAUGGCCCCGCGGUGCAUUAGCUAGUUGGUAAGGUAAAGGCUUACCAAGGCGAUGAUGCAUAGCCGAGUUGAGAGACUGAUCGGCCACAUUGGGACUGAGACACGGCCCAAACUCCUACGGGAGGCAGCAGUAGGGAAUCUUCCACAAUGGACGCAAGUCUGAUGGAGCAACGCCGCGUGAGUGAAGAAGGUUUUCGGAUCGUAAAGCUCUGUUGUUGGUGAAGAAGGAUAGAGGUAGUAACUGGCCUUUAUUUGACGGUAAUCAACCAGAAAGUCACGGCUAACUACGUGCCAGCAGCCGCGGUAAUACGUAGGUGGCAAGCGUUGUCCGGAUUUAUUGGGCGUAAAGCGAGCGCAGGCGGAAGAAUAAGUCUGAUGUGAAAGCCCUCGGCUUAACCGAGGAACUGCAUCGGAAACUGUUUUUCUUGAGUGCAGAAGAGGAGAGUGGAACUCCAUGUGUAGCGGUGGAAUGCGUAGAUAUAUGGAAGAACACCAGUGGCGAAGGCGGCUCUCUGGUCUGCAACUGACGCUGAGGCUCGAAAGCAUGGGUAGCGAACAGGAUUAGAUACCCUGGUAGUCCAUGCCGUAAACGAUGAGUGCUAAGUGUUGGGAGGUUUCCGCCUCUCAGUGCUGCAGCUAACGCAUUAAGCACUCCGCCUGGGGAGUACGACCGCAAGGUUGAAACUCAAAGGAAUUGACGGGGGCCCGCACAAGCGGUGGAGCAUGU